This 274-nucleotide ribosomal RNA is filed under the name uncultured bacterium. RNAcentral describes it as "partial 16S ribosomal RNA". It matches the Rfam family "Bacterial small subunit ribosomal RNA", at positions 523 to 796 of the family's 1533-position model. The record is from RNAcentral.
AUACGGAGGGUGCAAGCGUUAAUCGGAAUUACUGGGCGUAAAGCGUACGUAGGCGGUCCGUUAAGUUAGAUGUGAAAGCCCCGGGCUUAACCUGGGAACUGCAUUUAAAACUGGCGGACUAGAGUUGAGUAGAGGGGAGUGGAAUUUCAGGUGUAGCGGUGAAAUGCGUAGAGAUCUGAAGGAACACCAGUGGCGAAGGCGACUCCCUGGACUCGAACUGACGCUGAGGUACGAAAGCGUGGGUAACAAACGGGAUUAGAAACCCCGGUAGUCC